GACGAACGCUGGCGGCGUGCUUAACACAUGCAAGUCGAACGGAAAGGCCCUGCUUUUGUGGGGUGCUCGAGUGGCGAACGGGUGAGUAACACGUGAGUAACCUGCCCUUGACUUUGGGAUAACUUCAGGAAACUGGGGCUAAUACCGGAUAGGAGCUCCUGCUGCAUGGUGGGGGUUGGAAAGUUUCGGCGGUUGGGGAUGGACUCGCGGCUUAUCAGCUUGUUGGUGGGGUAGUGGCUUACCAAGGCUUUGACGGGUAGCCGGCCUGAGAGGGUGACCGGCCACAUUGGGACGGAGAGACGGCCCAGACUCCUACGGGAGGCAGCAGUGGGGAAUAUUGCACAAUGGGCGGAAGCCGGAUGCAGCAACGCCGCGUGCGGGAUGACGGCCUUCGGGUUGUAAACCGCUUUCGCCUGUGACGAAGCGUGAGUGACGGUAAUGGGUAAAGAAGCACCGGCUAACUACGU
RNAcentral lists this ribosomal RNA (467 nucleotides) under uncultured bacterium. RNAcentral's name for it is "partial 16S ribosomal RNA". It matches the Rfam family "Bacterial small subunit ribosomal RNA", at positions 28 to 506 of the family's 1533-position model. The record is from RNAcentral.